GUGCCAGCAGCCGCGGUAAUACGGAAGGUCCGGGCGUUAUCCGGAUUUAUUGGGUUUAAAGGGAGCGCAGGCUGAUUGUUAAGCGUGACGUGAAAUGUAGCCGCUCAACGGCUGAACUGCGUCGCGAACUGGCAGUCUUGAGUGGGUACGACGGAGGCGGAAUUCGUGGUGUAGCGGUGAAAUGCUUAGAUAUCACGAAGAACCCCGAUUGCGAAGGCAGCCUCCGAGUCCUUUACUGACGCUAAAGCUCGAAGGUGCGGGUAUCGAACAGGAUUAGAUACCCUGGUAGUCCGCACGGUAAACGAUGGAUGCCCGCUGUUGGCGAUACAUUGUCAGCGGCCAAGCGAAAGCGUUAAGCAUCCCACCUGGGGAGUACGCCGGCAACGGUGAAACUCAAAGGAAUUGACGGGGGCCCGCACAAGCGGAGGAACAUGUGGUUUAAUUCGAUGAUACGCGAGGAACCUUACCCGGGCUUGAACUGCAGCAGAACGACGGAGAGAUCCUGAGGCCCUUCGGGGCUGCUGUGGAGGUGCUGCAUGGUUGUCGUCAGCUCGUGCCGUGAGGUGUCGGCUUAAGUGCCAUAACGAGCGCAACCCCUUUCGACAGUUGCCAUCAGGUCAUGCUGGGCACUCUGUUGACACUGCCACCGUAAGGUGUGAGGAAGGUGGGGAUGACGUCAAAUCAGCACGGCCCUUACGUCCGGGGCUACACACGUGUUACAAUGGGUGGUACAGAGAGUAAGUCCCCAGCAAUGUGGAUUCAAUCCUUAAAGCCAUCCUCAGUUCGGAUUGGGGUCUGCAACCCGACCCCAUGAAGCUGGAUUCGCUAGUAAUCGCGCAUCAGCCAUGGCGCGGUGAAUACGUUCCCGGGCCUUGUACACACCGCCCGU
This 889-nucleotide ribosomal RNA is filed under the name uncultured bacterium. Its description in RNAcentral is "bacterial SSU rRNA". It matches the Rfam family "Bacterial small subunit ribosomal RNA", at positions 505 to 1397 of the family's 1533-position model. The record is from RNAcentral.